GAUGAAGAACGUAGCGAAAUGCGAUACGUAUGUGAAUUGCAGAAUUCAGUGAAUCAUCGAAUCUUUGAACGCAUAUUGCGCUCUCUGGUAUUCCGGAGAGCAUGCUUGUUUGAGUAUCAGUAAACACCUCAACUUCCAUAUCUUUUUUGAAAUGGGAGUUGGACUUGAGUGAUCCCAACGCUUUUCCUCACCGAAAAGUGGCGGGUUACUUGAAAUGCAGGUGCAGCUGGACUUUUCUCUGAGCUAUAAGCAUAUCUAUUUAGUCUGCCUAAAAAACAGAUUAUUGCCUUUGCUGCAGCUAACAUAAAGGAGAUUAGUUCUUGUGCUGACUGAUGCAGGAUUCACAAAGACAGGCUUCGGCCGACUUUGUAAACUCGAUCUCAAAUCAAGUAAGACUACCCGCUGAACUUAAGCAUAUCAAUAAGCGGAGGA
RNAcentral lists this unclassified non-coding RNA (432 nucleotides) under soil metagenome. RNAcentral describes it as "partial contains 5.8S ribosomal RNA, internal transcribed spacer 2, and large subunit ribosomal RNA". The stretch from base 1 to 119 matches the Rfam family "5.8S ribosomal RNA", at positions 35 to 154 of the family's 154-position model. The record is from RNAcentral.